This 253-nucleotide ribosomal RNA is filed under the name uncultured bacterium. RNAcentral describes it as "partial 16S ribosomal RNA". It matches the Rfam family "Bacterial small subunit ribosomal RNA", at positions 524 to 776 of the family's 1533-position model. The record is from RNAcentral.
UACGGAGGAUCCGAGCGUUAUCCGGAUUUAUUGGGUUUAAAGGGUGCGUAGGCGGCCUAUUAAGUCAGGGGUGAAAGACGGUAGCUCAACUAUCGCAGUGCCUUUGAUACUGAUGGGCUUGAAUACACUUGAGGUAGGCGGAAUGUGACAAGUAGCGGUGAAAUGCAUAGAUAUGUCACAGAACACCAAUUGCGAAGGCAGCUUACUAAAGUGUGAUUGACGCUGAGGCACGAAAGCGUGGGGAUCAAACAGG